CAAUAAUAAUUUUCUUUGUUCAAUAAUCUUAUAUUCACAAGAUUAUUAUAAGACUUUCAAGUCAAUAACGAAAACGAGAAGAACGAAGUAAACACCAAAUCUAUCAUUAAAUAAACAAUGUAUUUUAUUUUGAUCAAAAAGAAACAAUGUAUAGACAUUCUUUAGAAAAUUAGUGGGAGAAAACAAAAACUUGUCAUAAAAUCUAAGUAAAAUGAAAAUAAAAGUACAGAACAAAAGAGAAUCAAACCUGACCCUUAAGUGACCAAUCAGAAUCGACCGCGCCUAGUCUUUCCUGAUUUUCCUCACCUUAUCUCUCUCUCUCUCUCUCUCUCACUCUUCUCUAAACUAUCCAACUUCAUUCUCCAUCUUCCUGGCGUCUCUCCUCUCUCUCUUACUCCAUCAAUGGCCACCACAAACUCUCUCCACCACCACCAUCACUCUUCUUACCAACACCACCGCCACAAUCUCCACUACCAAUCUCACUUGACACCAACUUCUCUCUCACUCAAAC
Molecule: long non-coding RNA, 511 nt
Filed under: Brassica napus (rape)
Lineage: Eukaryota; Viridiplantae; Streptophyta; Magnoliopsida; Brassicales; Brassicaceae
Description: long non-coding RNA (BNAP_LNC002501)
Source: RNAcentral